AGUGAACGCUGGCGGUAGGCCUAACACAUGCAAGUCGAACGGCAGCACAGGAGAGCUUGCUCUCUGGGUGGCGAGUGGCGGACGGGUGAGGUAUACAUCGGAAUCUACUCUGUCGUGGGGGAUAACGUAGGGAAACUUACGCUAAUACCGCAUACGACCUACGGGUGAAAGCAGGGGACCUUCGGGCCUUGCGCGAUUGAAUGAGCCGAUGUCGGAUUAGCUAGUUGGCGGGGUAAAGGCCCACCAAGGCGACGAUCCGUAGCUGGUCUGAGAGGAUGAUCAGCCACACUGGAACUGAGACACGGUCCAGACUCCUACGGGAGGCAGCAGUGGGUAAUAUUGGACAAUGGGCGCAAGCCUGAUCCAGCCAUACCGCGUGGGUGAAGAAGGCCUUCGGGUUGUAAAGCCCUUUUGUUGGGAAAGAAAUCCAGCUGGCUAAUACCCGGUUGGGAUGACGGUACCCAAAGAAUAAGCACCGGCUAACUUCGUGCCAGCCGCCGCUGUAA
This 506-nucleotide ribosomal RNA is filed under the name uncultured bacterium. RNAcentral describes it as "partial 16S ribosomal RNA". It matches the Rfam family "Bacterial small subunit ribosomal RNA", at positions 29 to 523 of the family's 1533-position model. The record is from RNAcentral.